UCCAGACUCCUACGGGAGGCAGCAGUGAGGAAUAUUGGUCAAUGGCCGAGAGGCUGAACCAGCCAAGUCGCGUGAGGGAUGACGGCCCUACGGGUUGUAAACCUCUUUUGUCGGGGAGCAAAGAGAGUCACGUGUGGCUCAUUGGGAGUACCCGAAGAAAAAGCAUCGGCUAACUUCGUGCCAGCAGCCGCGGUAAUACGUAGGGGGCGAGCGUUAUCCGGAAUUACUGGGUGUAAAGGGAGCGUAGACGGCGAGGUAAGCCUGAAGUGGAAGCCCGCGGCCCAACCGCGGAACUGCUUUGGGAACUGUUUUGCUGGAGUAUGGGAGGGGUAAGCGGAAUUCCUGGUGUAGCGGUGAAAUGCGUAGAUAUCAGGAGGAACACCGGUGGCGAAGGCGGCUUACUGGACCAUAACUGACGUUGAGGCUCGAAAGCGUGGGGAGCGAACAGGAUUAGAUACCCGCGUACA
Molecule: ribosomal RNA, 467 nt
Filed under: uncultured bacterium
Lineage: Bacteria
Description: bacterial SSU rRNA
Rfam family: Bacterial small subunit ribosomal RNA
Source: RNAcentral